Long non-coding RNA from Zonotrichia leucophrys gambelii, 1160 nucleotides. RefSeq lists it as uncharacterized. Lineage: Eukaryota; Metazoa; Chordata; Aves; Passeriformes; Passerellidae. The transcript has 3 exons. The record is from RefSeq and is a predicted model, not a curated record.
CUCCAGAGACAUUCUGUUUGUCCAGUGACAAACAGCCACUCAUUUUCCUGAGCUUUCCACAGUUAACCAAGCAGGCCAGCAGAAAGGGGAAUACCUUCCACCCUGCCCACAAACAAAUGCCAGCUUGGGGUGCCUGAAACCUUGCACUGAUGAGGAGCACUGAGCCCUUUUUAUACCAGGACAUGAUGUUUGUUUACUUUUGCAUGACACAUUGGAGCCCAACCUUCAAGAAGUGCAAUGGGGUCACUCCCUUACCGGAGCUCUCUGUGGCUGUUUGGCUCUGAGAUUUGGGCAUGUGAGGAGCCACAUCUUUCAGCAUCAGCAGAUUUACAGAAGACAUGCUCUGCUUUGAAACACGGGGAAAUUGAUCCUGCAGGGCUGUUUACUCCCGCAGCACACCUUGGAGUACUCCACAGCACCUGUGCCUUGCGUAAUUGCUGCUUCUCCCUCAACCAAACAUCAGCAAAAUUUGUACUAGGCAAAGGUGUAAUCACAGGGAGUGCUGCAGCCAAUUUUCACAGCUCAGACAUAAAAAAAAGAAAAAAGCUAAUUAGGAACAUCUAUUCUGGACCUGCCUGCGCUCUUUGUUUAUCACCUGCCCCCUGGAGCAGCACUGCUGGGGAGGGAGCUGGUUUGAGCAUGUGUGAUAACCUGGUACAUGCACACACUGCCCUGAGUGACACUGCAGCCCAUGAGACAACAUUCAAUGGAAAUUCAUCGAGUUCAAGUUCCCUGAGCUUUUAAAAUUGUUUCUCUUACAUGAUUCAUUGGCCUUAUUUAAUUUUCAUGUUCACACAUAGAAUUAAUGAGGAUAAUCCUCCACUCCCUGAGGUCUGCAAACAGAUCCUUCCCACCCCUGUGGGCUGCAGCUCCUUUGGCCCAGGCAGCAGUCAGAGCUGACCCCCAGCAGUCCCUUUCAUGGAGUGACACAUUUUCAUGCACAGGCAAGGUCUGGGCUGCCCCUGCUCUCUCAUGCCCAUCACCUCCCACCCUCCUCUGCAAUCCCAGGCCAUGGUUUGUUCUGGACUGAUCCCCACAUCAUGAAAUCUAGCAGAGCUCAUCUAGGAAUGCAAGGAAACUUCAUCAAGAAAUUAAUUUUUCAGGAAGUGUGCAAACCUUGGAAUUCUUCAUUUAGCAGACUUCUUCCCCCUUGUUUUUUG